UUUGAGGAGCCCGCGGCCUAUCAGCUUGUUGGUGAGGUAACGGCUCACCAAGGCAUUGACGGGUAGCUGGUCUGAGAGGACGACCAGUCACACUGGGACUGAGACACGGCCCAGACACCUACGGGUGGCAGCAGUCGAGAAUUUUUCUCAAUGGGGGAAACCCUGAAGGAGCGACGCCGCGUGGAGGAUGAAGGUCUUCGGGUUGUAAACUCCUGUCAUUUGGGAACAAGGUGUGCGCGUUAACUGCGCGCGCAUUGAUAGUACCAGAAGAGGAAGAGACGGCUAACUCUGUGCCAGCAGCCGCGGUAAUACAGAGAGUCUCAAGCGUUGUUCGGAUUCAUUGGGCGUAAAGGGUGCGUAGGCGGCGCGGUAAGUCGGGUGUGAAAUUUCUAGGCUUAACUUCCAAACUGCAUUCGAUACUGCCGUGCUUGAGGACUGGAGAGGAGACUGGAAUUUUACGGUGUAGCGGUGAAAUGCGUAGAUAUCGUAAGGAAGACCAGUGGCGAAGGCGGGUCUCUGGACAGUUCCUGACGCUGAGGCACGAAGGCCAGGGGAGCAAACGGGAUUAGAUACCCCGGUAGUCCUGGCAAUAAACGGUGCACGUUUGGUGUGGGAGGAUUCGACCCCUUCUGCGCCGGAGCUAACGCGUUAAACGUGCCGCCUGGGGAGUACGGUCGCAAGAUUAAAACUCAAAGAAAUUGACGGGGGCCCGCACAAGCGGUGGAGUAUGUGGCUUAAUUCGAUGCAACGCGAAGAACCUUACCUGGCCUUGACAUGCAUCUCUAAGCUGGUGAAAGCCAGUGAGUCCCGAAAGGGACAAUUUGCACAGGUGCUGCAUGGCUGUCGUCAGCUCGUGUCGUGAGAUGUUGGGUUAAGUCCCGCAACGAGCGCAACCCCUGUGAACUGUUGCCACCGGCCCGUGAGGGUCGAGCACUCUGUUCAGACUGCC
RNAcentral lists this ribosomal RNA (949 nucleotides) under uncultured Acidobacteriota bacterium. RNAcentral describes it as "bacterial SSU rRNA". It matches the Rfam family "Bacterial small subunit ribosomal RNA", at positions 221 to 1153 of the family's 1533-position model. Lineage: Bacteria; Pseudomonadati; Acidobacteriota. The record is from RNAcentral.